Halichondria panicea is the source of this 4420-nucleotide long non-coding RNA. RefSeq lists it as uncharacterized. The record is from RefSeq and is a predicted model, not a curated record. NCBI's taxonomy places the organism in Eukaryota, Metazoa, Porifera, Demospongiae, Suberitida, Halichondriidae. The transcript is spliced from 29 exons.
AGAGGGCCUCUACUUUCUUGACUUUCUUUGUUACCUCUGUCUAUAUAUCAUCAACAUCCAAGGUCCAUCCAUCAUCGCAUCAUGUCAAGCAGAAUCUCAGAGGUUGAAGCUCUUAUAAAAUCUUGAGACUUUAAAUGUAGCUACACUGUAUCUGAAGUCAUCAGUCGCCAGGCAUGCAACCAUAAGAGCUAAUUCUUUGCUACUCCGAUGCUCACUUGGUACUGUUGGGCAUGUAUAGCUCACGGCAAGUCCACUCUGGUCAAAGCUAUCUCAGGAGUUCAGACUGAAACAUCACCAUCAAGCUGGAAUAUGCCACGCUAAGGUAUGUAUAAUCGUUUGUGGACUGUCCCAGUCACGAUAUUCUCAGGUGCAAAGAAACACCCCGGAUAGUUCUUAUAGCAAUCAUGCUGAACGGAGCAUGCUGUUAUGGACGCAGCACUCUUAUUAAUAGCGGGCAACGAGAGUCGUGUUCCCAGCCCCAAACAUCCGAGCAUCUGGCAGCCAUUAGGAUUAUGAAGGUGGCACAUUCUCACCCAGUCCCUUGAUUGACUUAAUCCGAGACACACAUGCAAGCCAAAGACAAGUACCAGGAGGUCCUCAAGUUUGUACAAGGUACAGUGGAAGAAGGUGCUCCAAUAAUUCCCAGCUCAACGAGAUUCCCUGGCCAACCCACAGGGCCUCAUCACGAUCGACCAUAAUGAUUGAUAUGAACAGAAGAAAGAAAAUUACCAUGUGGAAAUCACAAGUGGAGAUGAAGACUACUAGAGAUGUGCACACAUGCAGAUGAAGACGAUUGGGUUCGUGAGUUUGAGGCCUGGUGUCCAGCCAUGACAGUCAUAGCGCACUAGGGUUCCCAACAGGACAUCAAUCGUGAUAACUUUGAUGUCAUCCUCACAACGUACAAUGUGUCAGGCUGAGGACAGGAAGAGUUCUUAGGAAGCUCUCUAUAGACUGUCUCGUAUACUGGACGAGGGACACAUGCUCAAGAACAUGAACCUAUUGCGAUACACACACCUCUGAAAAUACAGGGGAUGAGCUCCAAGAAGAGGAUGGAUGUGAUGGUAGACUUUUGCAAGGCCACCAACCAUCCCCUAUUCCUGAGACACUGACGACACCCUCCACUGCAUUCAUGGUGAGGGCCAUCCGAAAGGAGUCCAGUCACAGAGAUACUGCUCCCAACCUCGUGUGGGAAGAUAAUUAUGAGUGUAAUGUUCGACUUUAAGCUGCACAAACUCUGCAUUGCAGUACAAGGGUAUUGGUAAGAAAAUGGAGGCAAUAUUGUUCCUGUCCCACCUCUAUCAGCUGGGUCACUUCCUUGUCGUCCCUAACCCCUCCUCCACUAUAGAGAGUGGACGACUUGGGUGCCUAUAUAUCCACCAAGACCAGUACGUAAGACAGGCCAAGCAGAUCAUGACACCCUUCACACUACGGAGUCACAAGUGCUGAGUCAGCUCACGGCCAAGGUGUCCAGUACGGAGCACUAUCAGCUGACAUAGAAUAAGUGGACGUUGUACAAGGGCAUGGCAGAGAGGGGAUGAGCUCCAAGAAGAGGAUGGAUGUGAUGGUAGACUUUUGCAAGGCCACCAACCAUCCCCUAUUCCUGAGACACUGACGACACCCUCCACUGCAUUCAUGGUGAGGGCCAUCCGAAAGGAGUCCAGUCACAGAGAUACUGCUCCCAACCUCGUGUGGGAAGAUAAUUAUGAGUGUAAUGUUCGACUUUAAGCUGCACAAACUCUGCAUUGCAGUACAAGGGUAUUGGUAAGAAAAUGGAGGCAAUAUUGUUCCUGUCCCACCUCUAUCAGCUGGGUCACUUCCUUGUCGUCCCUAACCCCUCCUCCACUAUAGAGAGUGGACGACUUGGGUGCCUAUAUAUCCACCAAGACCAGUACGUAAGACAGGCCAAGCAGAUCAUGACACCCUUCACACUACGGAGUCACAAGUGCUGAGUCAGCUCACGGCCAAGGUGUCCAGUACGGAGCACUAUCAGCUGACAUAGAAUAAGUGGACGUUGUACAAGGGCAUGGCAGAGAGGUAUUUAUACCCAUACUGAGCACCCCUCUGCCACUAGAGGUGAUGAGCUCAACAAUUAAGAGGAUGGACGUGAUGGUAGACCUUCGCAAGGCCACCAACCACCCCCUACUCCUGAGACACUACUAUUGAAGGGACGAGUCGAGUGCCUAUAUUACAAGGAGCAAGUGAGACAGGCCAAGCAGAUCAUGACACCCUUCACACUGCGGAGUUACAAGUGCUGAGUCAGCUCCCGGCCAAGGUGUCCAGUACGGAGCAAUGUCAACUGACGGAUACUCAGUGGACGUUGUACAGGGGCGUGGUGGAGAGGUCACUCAGGGUCAAUCAAGGUCGACAUGUUAUCCGGAACCAUAUAUAGAUGUCUGGGUUCUACUGCUACAAGCUAAGAGGAUACUCCUGCUCACGGGGACUCCACUACAGAACAACCUGCUGGAAUGUCUCUACUCAGUUUUGUUAUUCCUUUCAAACUGUUUUCUACUCAAAUCAGAAAGACCUUCUCUAGAGCUAGGAGAGUGGAACGCUCAGGUGCCUACUACCAGGAGUAAGUGAGACAGACCAAGCAGAUCAUGACGCCCUUCACUCUAGAUCUGGAGGCUCAACGGUCACAAGUGCUGAGCCAGCUCCUGGCCAAAGUGUCGAGCCAGCAUUGCCUGCUGACAGAGACUAAGUGGAGAUUGUACAGAGACGUGGUGGAGAGGUCAAUCAGGGUCCACAUGGUGUGGUUACCUUUUUGUUCGUUAUGAGAGGCAGUUUUGCACAGUUGGGAGCACGAAGCUUGUCCUCUGUCCGGAAUCAAGAAGAUUGUGUGUACACAGCAAGAUCAUCUCAUACCAUACCAGAGUGGACGAGUCGAGUGCCUACUACCAGUAUAGCAAGUGAGACAAGCCAUGCAGAUCAUGACACCCUUCACACUGCGGAGGCUCAAGUCACAUUUAAAUGCUGAGUCAGCUCCCGGCCAAGGUGUCCAGUACGGAGCAUUGUCAUCUGGCGGAGACUCAGUGGACGUUGUACAGAGGCGUGGUGGAGAGGUCACUCAGGGUCAAUCAGGACGGACAUGGUGAUGAGGUCAACAAGAGGAUGGACGUGAUGGUAGACCUUCGCAAGGCCACCAACCAUCCCCUACUCCUGAGACACCACUACACUGACCACACCUACACUGCAUGGUGAGGGCCAUCCAAAGGAGUCUAGUCACAGAGAUGCUGCUCCUAACCUCAUGUGAGAAGAUAUGAGUGUAAUGUCCGUUUUUGAGCUGCACAACCUCCGUACCCAUGCCAUUAUAAGGUCAGGCUGAGGACAGGAUGUUCUUUAGGAAGCUCUCUCUAGACUGUCUUGUACUGGACGAGGGACACAUGCUCAAAAACAUGAACUCACUGCGAUACACACACCUCAUGAAAAUACAGUGAUCGACUCACACAAUCCUGUGAUGGUAUUGCUACAAGCUAAGAGGAGGCUCCUGCUCACGGGGACUCCACUACAGAACAACCUGCUGGAGCUCAUGUCUCUACUCAGUUUGGUUAUUCCUUUCGAGCAGUUCUCUGCUCAAAUCAAAAAAACCUAGAUAGGGUAGGGUGAGCCUCGGUGAUUUGAUUUGCCCUUGAGUCAUUUAUAUUGGAAUUUCAGUGGAUGUAUUAGAUGCAUUUUUCCAGUUUACAAAACUAAAUUUUGAUUUAGCCAAAAUAAUGUUGCUCUAUUCCCCAUGCAGUAUAUAUAGUUCACAGUUCUUAUACUACACUGCCCCCCCCCCCCCACACACACACAUCCCACAAAGAGUGAACAAGCCUUGAGUGCUUACUAUACCAGGAGCAAGUGAGACAGGCCAAGCAGAUCAUGACACCCUUCACACUGCAGAGGCUCAGGUCACAAGUGCUGAGUCAGCUCUCGGCCAAGGUGUCCAGUAUACGGAGCAUUGUCAGCUAACGGAGACUCAAUGGACAUUGUACAUGCAGGGGCGUGGUGGAGAGGUCACUCAGGGUCAAUCAGGGCCGACAUGGUGAUGAGCUAGGACGGACGUGAUGUGGUAGACCUUCGCGGCCACCAACCAUCCCCUACUCCUGAGACAUCACUAUACACUGACCACACCCUACACUGCAUGGUGAGGGCCAUCCUAAAGGUGUCCAGUCACAGAGAUGCCAUCCCAAUUAACCUGCAUGCAUGGUGUGGGAGGAUAUGCAUGAGUGCAAUGUCCAACUUUGAGCCUGCACAACGCCACAACCUCUACACAUGCACUGUACAAGAUGAUAAUGGACAUGACUGGUCUCCUCCCAACCUAACGUUAUUGAGUUUAGGUAUCACUUAAUUAAUUGUUAUAGUGAUUUUGUGAAUAGGAUAGCUGGUAUUAUUAUCUCAAUCCGAUUUGCAGUUUUGAUAAUUUGCAUUGUAAUUCAGAUGC